GCAAACUUGGUCAUUUAGAGGAAGUAAAAGUCGUAACAAGGUUUCCGUAGGUGAACCUGCGGAAGGAUCAUUAUUGAAUGUUGACUUGAUAGGUUGUCGCUGGUCCUGUAAAACAGCAGGGCAUGUGCACGCCUGUCUUGACUUCAAUUCAUCCACCUGUGCACCUUUUGUAGUCUUUUUGGGGGGCUGGGGAAACUGCAGCUCAGGCUGCCAGUGAACUGCCCCACUGAAGGCUAUGUUUUUCUACAUAUACCAUUAGAACGUCAUUAGAAUGUUGUCAAUGGGCUCUUGUGGCCUAUAUAAAAUCUAUACAACUUUCAGCAACGGAUCUCUUGGCUCUCGCAUCGAUGAAGAACGCAGC
This 361-nucleotide unclassified non-coding RNA is filed under the name uncultured fungus. Its description in RNAcentral is "partial contains small subunit ribosomal RNA, internal transcribed spacer 1, and 5.8S ribosomal RNA". The stretch from base 1 to 73 matches the Rfam family "Eukaryotic small subunit ribosomal RNA", at positions 1759 to 1831 of the family's 1831-position model. The record is from RNAcentral. Lineage: Eukaryota; Fungi.